CUUGGUUUUUAUUUUGCUUUUUGCUCGUCUCAGUUGAUUUACAGACGUCCAACCAUGUUUUUCAAAAGAAUAUUUCCAAACUUUUUACAUACGAAAUAAAGUCGACCUUCACAACAGUCUUUGCUCACUAACUAAAGUUGACCUUCACAACAGUCUUUGCUCACUAACUAAAGUCGACCUUCACAACAGUCUUUGCUCACUAACUAAAGUCGACCUUCACAACAGUCUUUGUUCACUAACUAAAGUCGACCUUCACAACAGUCUUUGUUCACUAACUAAAGUCGACCUUCACAACAGUCUUUGCUCACUAACUAAAGUCGACCUUCACAACAGUCUUUGCUCACUAACUAAAGUCGAUCUUCACAACAGUCUUUGCUCACUAACUAAAGUCGACCUUCACAACAGUCUUUGUUCACUAACUAAAGUCGACCUUCACAACAGUCUUUGUUCACUAACUAAAGUCGACAUUAACAACAGUCUUUGCUCACUAACUAAAGUCGACCUUCACAACAGUCUUUGUUCACUAACUAAAGUCGACCUUCUCAACAGUCUUUGUUCACCAACUAAAGUCGACCUUCACAACAGUCUUUGCUCACUAACUAAAGUCGACCUUCACAACAGUCUUUGCUCACUAACUAAAGUCGACCUUCACAACAGUCUUUGCUCACUAACUAAAGUCGACCUUCACAACAGUCUUUGCUCACUAACUAAAGUCGACCUUCACAACAGUCUUUGCUCACUAACUAAAGUCGACCUUCACAACAGUCUUUGCUCACUAACUAAAGUCGACCUUCACAACAGUCUUU
This is a long non-coding RNA of Xenia sp. Carnegie-2017, 806 nucleotides long. RefSeq lists it as uncharacterized. The transcript is spliced from 2 exons. The record is from RefSeq and is a predicted model, not a curated record. Lineage: Eukaryota; Metazoa; Cnidaria; Anthozoa; Malacalcyonacea; Xeniidae.